CCUCCAUAUUAGGGACUAAGCUUCCCCUUCUUACCAAAUCUCAUUACACCCUUCAUGGGUAAGAUUUUCAAGUAAACGCAAUCGUUAACAUCAAACUCUAGAUCCCUUCUUCUCACAUCGGCAUAGGACUUUUGUCGACUUUGAGCCGUUUUCAACUUUUCCCUUAUAAGCCGAACUUUAUCCAUUGAUUCUUGUACCAAUUAG
RNAcentral lists this long non-coding RNA (204 nucleotides) under Solanum tuberosum (potato). RNAcentral's name for it is "long non-coding RNA (STUB_LNC005843)". The record is from RNAcentral. Lineage: Eukaryota; Viridiplantae; Streptophyta; Magnoliopsida; Solanales; Solanaceae.